CCUACGGGCGGCAGCAGUGGGGAAUAUUGCACAAUGGAGGGAACUCUGAUGCAGCGACGCCGCGUGAGUGAAGAAGUAACUCGUUAUGUAAAGCUCUAUCAGCAGGGAAGAAAGUGACGGUACCUGAAAAAGAAGCUCCGGCUAAAUACGUGCCAGCAGCCGCGGUAAUACGUAUGGAGCAAGCGUUAUCCGGAUUUACUGGGCGUAAAGGGGGAGUAGGUGGCAGUGCAAGUCCGAAGUGAAAACCCAAAGCUCAACUCUGGGAAUGCUUUAGAAACUGCUCAGCUGGAGUGCAGGAGAGGCAAGUGGAAUUCUUAGUGUAGCGGUGAAAUGCGUAGAUAUUAGGAGGAACACCAGUGGCGAAGGCGGCUUACUGGACUGUAACUGACGCUGAGGCUCGAAAGCGUGGGGAGCAAACAGGAUUAGAUACCCCAGUAGUC
This 440-nucleotide ribosomal RNA is filed under the name uncultured bacterium. Its description in RNAcentral is "partial 16S ribosomal RNA". It matches the Rfam family "Bacterial small subunit ribosomal RNA", at positions 338 to 795 of the family's 1533-position model. The record is from RNAcentral.